RNAcentral lists this long non-coding RNA (1313 nucleotides) under Homo sapiens (human). Its description in RNAcentral is "HSALNT0214684". Lineage: Eukaryota; Metazoa; Chordata; Mammalia; Primates; Hominidae. The record is from RNAcentral.
AUUCCAGAAAGCCGCGCCGGCCCCAGUCCCCAUGGGCUGAAGGCAGGUUGAGUUCUUCCCCAGGUCUGCGAGCCUCGAAGGCUUCUUUCAGACAGCAGACCCCUUAGAAGCGCAAGGCUGCUUUCUGACAAAGAAUCAAGUGUUCCUUUCAACCAGCCAAGGGACUGGUUUUCUCGCUGACCCUUUGACAGCUCCAGCCGGUCCCUCCAUUCGAGGUCCCUGACUUCCUGCAACAGACUGAGAUGGCCUUCUGAGCUUUUCCAGGGCUGACGACCACCUUCUUGAUACCUUCCCCUCUCUCGUUCUGAAUCCGUGCCCACCAGACAGGGAAUCCAGGCUUUCGGAGAUGAGGACUGGGAGGUCUCCAGACCACACAAGCCCCCUAUUUGCACUGGCCUUUGGAAUGAGCCUACAGCCUGCCUCCACUCCUCCUGGUACCCCAGCUGUUCUCAAGGAAUUGGCCAGAAGUCAGACUCCUUUCCCAGCUGUCCUCCACUUCUUUCCUGCCAGGCACCCUAGGCCCCAUGGUGGGAUUGGGCCUAUAGGCUGUGAUUUUCCACAUCCUUGUCAAACCUGUACUACCUGAAUGCCUAGAGGAAAAGAUACUGCCUUAAUUACUAUUAUGAGCACGAAUGCCUUCUUACUCUUGAAUUUAGCUGAGUGCUGCCUGCAGGUAAAGUCACCUGGAGAACCAUCCAGGGACUUUGUCCUCAUAGGAUCACUUGUACCUCUCUAGGGUUGCUGUGGCAGCUGCCAGAGUGGCCCGGGCCAUGGAUGAGGGCCAGGAUAUGGAAAGCAGAGGCAGAAAUGAGCCCAGAGGCCACAGGGCCCAGCUCUCAGGCUCCCACGGUGAAGCCCAGAGGGUUCCUUCUCUCUCCUGCUUCAGGCUGACAAUGUUUGUCAGCCUCUGCUCCCAACCCCUAUACCCAGCAACCUCUGCGCCCAAGCACAUGGUCUGAAGAAUAUUCUGGUGUUGGGCCCCUGUAGGUGGCCUGCCGUGACGGUGGAAGCCUGGAACGUAGUGACAUGGAUUCAUCAUUGGGAUGUUUCAUCCUAAGGAAACGCACUCGCAGGUGGCUGUAGACCUUGGGGACUCCAGCCUCGUUCAUUUAAGCUCCCACAAUGUUCCAGGCCCUAUGCGGCUUGCAAGGGGCAGAGAGACACAGAAUGACAGCCGACAUGGCACUCUAUUGGUGCACUGGCACUGUUUUUUUUUUUGAGAUGGAGUCUUGCUCUGUCACCCAGGCUGGAGUGCAGUGGCAUGAUGGAGAUGCAACCUCUACCUCAUGGGUUCAAGCGAUUCUCCUGCCUCA